CCUACGGGGGGGGCWGCAGUAGGGAAUCUUCCGCAAUGGGCGAAAGCCUGACGGAGCAAUGCCGCGUGAGUGAUGAAGGUUUUCGGAUCGUAAAGCUCUGUUGCCAGGGAAGAACGCUUGGGAGAGUAACUGCUCUCAAGGUGACGGUACCUGAGAAGAAAGCCCCGGCUAACUACGUGCCAGCAGCCGCGGUAAUACGUAGGGGGCAAGCGUUGUCCGGAAUUAUUGGGCGUAAAGCGCGCGCAGGCGGUCAUUUAAGUCUGGUGUUUAAUCCCGGGGCUCAACCCCGGAUCGCACUGGAAACUGGGUGACUUGAGUGCAGAAGAGGAGAGUGGAAUUCCACGUGUAGCGGUGAAAUGCGUAGAUAUGUGGAGGAACACCAGUGGCGAAGGCGACUCUCUGGGCUGUAACUGACGCUGAGGCGCGAAAGCGUGGGGAGCAAACAGGAUUAGAUACCCC
RNAcentral lists this ribosomal RNA (459 nucleotides) under Paenibacillus illinoisensis. Its description in RNAcentral is "bacterial SSU rRNA". Lineage: Bacteria; Bacillati; Bacillota; Bacilli; Caryophanales; Paenibacillaceae. The record is from RNAcentral.